GCGCCCGUAGCUCAGCUGGAUAGAGCAUCGGACUUCGAAUCCGAGAGUCGCAGGUUCGAAUCCUGCCGGGCGUACCA
Molecule: transfer RNA, 77 nt
Filed under: Candidatus Electrothrix aestuarii
Lineage: Bacteria; Pseudomonadati; Thermodesulfobacteriota; Desulfobulbia; Desulfobulbales; Desulfobulbaceae
Also listed under: 1 other name
Description: tRNA-Arg
Rfam family: tRNA
About the family: Transfer RNA (tRNA) molecules are approximately 80 nucleotides in length. Their secondary structure includes four short double-helical elements and three loops (D, anti-codon, and T loops).
Source: RNAcentral